Molecule: ribosomal RNA, 440 nt
Filed under: uncultured bacterium
Lineage: Bacteria
Description: partial 16S ribosomal RNA
Rfam family: Bacterial small subunit ribosomal RNA
Source: RNAcentral
CCUACGGGAGGCAGCAGUGGGGGAUAUUGCACAAUGGGGGGAACCCUGAUGCAGCGACGCCGCGUGGGUGAAGAAGCGCCUCGGCGCGUAAAGCCCUGUCAGCAGGGAAGAAAAUGACGGUACCUGAAUAAGAAGCCCCGGCUAACUACGUGCCAGCAGCCGCGGUAUUACGUAGGGGGCAAGCGUUAUCCGGAUUUACUGGGGGUAAAGGGAGCGCAGACGGCGAUGCAAGCCAGGAGUGAAAGCCCGGGGCCCAACCCCGGGACUGCACUUGGAACUGCGUGGCUGGAGUGCAGGAGGGGCAGGCGGAAUUCCAGGUGUAGCGGUGAAAUGCGUAGAUAUCAGGAGGAACACCGGUGGCGAAGGCGGCCUGCUGGACUGCAACUGACGUUGAGGCCCGAAAGCGUGGGGAGCAAACAGGAUUAGAUACCCUGGUAGUC